CGGGGCGUAGCGCAGCCUGGUUAGCGCGUCUGCUUUGGGAGCAGAAAGUCGCCGGUUCGAAUCCGGCCGCCCCGA
Molecule: transfer RNA, 75 nt
Filed under: Planctomycetota bacterium
Lineage: Bacteria; Pseudomonadati; Planctomycetota
Description: Planctomycetes bacterium tRNA-Pro
Rfam family: tRNA
About the family: Transfer RNA (tRNA) molecules are approximately 80 nucleotides in length. Their secondary structure includes four short double-helical elements and three loops (D, anti-codon, and T loops).
Source: RNAcentral